Molecule: long non-coding RNA, 433 nt
Organism: Ipomoea nil (Japanese morning glory)
Lineage: Eukaryota; Viridiplantae; Streptophyta; Magnoliopsida; Solanales; Convolvulaceae
Exons: 2
Source: RefSeq, a predicted model, not a curated record
AUUUAAUUAAUAUAAUUUUCUGAAUUUUUGCUGUUGUUCCGACGCUAAGAAAAGGCAUGCAUGUAUCUUUUUUACACGUAACUAUAAUCAAUAUUUUUUUUUUUAUUAUUGUAAUUUACCAGUGUUAAACGUACAACUAAAUAUUCAAGAAUACGUACUGGUGUAUUAUUAACCCAUAGAUAUUAAAAGAAAUAUAGUUAUUACAAUAAUUUAAUACGUAAUUAUUAGUCAAAUUAUGUGUCACUUAUUAAAUAAUAUAUAUAAUAAUCUAAGUACCUAACCAUAGAUUUGAAGGGCUAAUAUAAACUAGCUAGCUAUGGAUAUAUCCGAUUCCAGUCUGUCAUGGAAGUGUAGACGACAGAAAUGAUGUGAAAAGAAUUUGGUGAAGAUGCACAUCACACGUUAUAAUAUAUGUAUUAUUGUUAUUGUCAAA